AAGGAAAUUUAAUUUUAAGCUUCUAACUUUUAAUAAGCACUAAAUUUGUAAA
This 52-nucleotide transfer RNA is filed under the name Alyculus kurbatovi. RNAcentral's name for it is "partial tRNA-Ser". Lineage: Eukaryota; Metazoa; Arthropoda; Insecta; Coleoptera; Lycidae. The record is from RNAcentral.